RNAcentral lists this long non-coding RNA (204 nucleotides) under Carica papaya (papaya). RNAcentral's name for it is "long non-coding RNA (CPAP_LNC010851)". Lineage: Eukaryota; Viridiplantae; Streptophyta; Magnoliopsida; Brassicales; Caricaceae. The record is from RNAcentral.
GUUCUGGAGGCAAUACUAGUCUGUAAGUGGAUAUCCCAAUUCCGUCUCAAAUUUCAAAUAUGAACUGGGAAUUCAAAUUUUUUCUCUUUCCAAACCUAGUGAUGUCCUUAAAAAGGGUGAGCUUAAGGAAUACUUAAUCGCAUUUCUCAAAUUCUAAAUCUCUCUUUCGGGUGUCUGCAUAACUUUUCUACCUACUCUAGUCAG